UGAGUAACACGUAUCCAACCUGCCGUCUACUCUUGGACAGCCUUCUGAAAGGAAGAUUAAUCCAGGAUGGCAUCAUGAGUUCACAUGUCCGCAUGAUUAAAGGUAUUUCCGGUAGACGAUGGGGAUGCGUUCCAUUAGAUAGUAGGCGGGGUAACGGCCCACCUAGUCGACGAUGGAUAGGGGUUCUGAGAGGAAGGUCCCCCACAUUGGAACUGAGACACGGUCCAA
This 228-nucleotide ribosomal RNA is filed under the name uncultured bacterium. RNAcentral's name for it is "partial 16S ribosomal RNA". It matches the Rfam family "Bacterial small subunit ribosomal RNA", at positions 107 to 334 of the family's 1533-position model. The record is from RNAcentral.